Molecule: transfer RNA, 68 nt
Filed under: Eledone cirrhosa (curled octopus)
Lineage: Eukaryota; Metazoa; Mollusca; Cephalopoda; Octopoda; Eledonidae
Description: tRNA-Trp
Source: RNAcentral
AGAGUUUUAAGUUAAAAUAAACUGUAAAUUUUCAAAAUUUAAAAUAAAUAUUUGUUGUUUAAAUUCUG